CCUACGGGAGGCAGCAGUCGAGAAUCAUUCACAAUGGGGGAAACCCUGAUGGUGCGACGCCGCGUGGGGGAAUGAAGGUCUUCGGAUUGUAAACCCCUGCCAUGUGGGAGCAAAUUAAAAAGAUAGUACCACAAGAGGAAGAGACGGCUAACUCUGUGCCAGCAGCCGCGGUAAUACAGAGGUCUCAAGCGUUGUUCGGAAUCACUGGGCGUAAGGCGUGCGUAGGCUGUUUCGUAAGUCGUGUGUGAAAGGCGCGGGCUCAACCCGCGGACGGCACAUGUUACUGCGAGACUAGAGUAAUGGAGGGGGAACCGGAAUUCUCGGUGUAGCAGUGAAAUGCGUAGAUAUCGAGAGGAACACUCGUGGCGAAGGCGGGUUCCUGGACAUUAACUGACGCUGAGGCACGAAGGCCAGGGGAGCGAAAGGGAUUAGAUACCCUAGUAGUC
RNAcentral lists this ribosomal RNA (446 nucleotides) under uncultured bacterium. RNAcentral describes it as "partial 16S ribosomal RNA". It matches the Rfam family "Bacterial small subunit ribosomal RNA", at positions 338 to 795 of the family's 1533-position model. The record is from RNAcentral.